CCUACGGGAGGCAGCAGUGGGGAAUAUUGCACAAUGGGGGUAACCCUGAUGCAGCGACGCCGCGUGCGUGAAGAAGUAUCUCGGUACGUAAAGCUCUAUCAGCAGGGAGGAAAAUGACGGUACCUGACUAAGAAGCCACGGCUAACUACGUGCCAGCAGCCGCGGUAAUACGUAGGGGGCAGGGGUUAUCCGGAUUUACUGGGUGUAAAGGGAGCGUAGACGGCAGCACAAGUCUGGAGUGAAAUGCCGGGGCUUAACCCCGGAACUGCUUUGGAAACUGUGCGGCUGGAGUGCAGGAGGGGUAUGCGGAAUUCCUAGUGUAGCGGUGAAAUGCGUAGAUAUUAGGAGGAACACCGGUGGCGAAGGCGGCUUACUGGACUGUAACUGACGUUGAGGCUCGAAAGCGUGGGGAGCAAACAGGAUUAGAUACCCUUGUAGUC
This 440-nucleotide ribosomal RNA is filed under the name uncultured bacterium. RNAcentral describes it as "partial 16S ribosomal RNA". It matches the Rfam family "Bacterial small subunit ribosomal RNA", at positions 338 to 795 of the family's 1533-position model. The record is from RNAcentral.